Molecule: long non-coding RNA, 409 nt
Organism: Suricata suricatta (meerkat)
Lineage: Eukaryota; Metazoa; Chordata; Mammalia; Carnivora; Herpestidae
Exons: 3
Source: RefSeq, a predicted model, not a curated record
ACUCCUAGGAUCUCAGAAUGUGACCAUUCUUAUAGAACCUAUAAAAUGAUGAUUCCGUUAAGGCCAUUAGAGUAGGCUCUCAUCCAAUCUGACUGGUGUUCUUAGAAAAAGACAAAACUUGAAUACGCAAAGACACACCAGAGUUGUGCCUGCACAGAGAAAAGGCUGUGUGAGAACACAGCAAGGAGACAGCCCUCUGCAAGCCAAGGUUCUAAAUCAUUGAAAUAAUGAUUACUUCAACAUCUGAAAUUUUGCAUGUAUAAAUGCUCUGGACUUAAGAAAUCUUCUCAGAGUCCUUAUUUGAACUUGUCAGGGAAGUGGCAUCAUUAUGCAUUUCUCAACAAAGAUCCCUAAGUCCUUCAAGGAGGCUCCAUGUCAUAUGGAAAGACAUAUUGUAAUGAGAGACGUG